This 253-nucleotide ribosomal RNA is filed under the name uncultured bacterium. RNAcentral's name for it is "partial 16S ribosomal RNA". It matches the Rfam family "Bacterial small subunit ribosomal RNA", at positions 524 to 776 of the family's 1533-position model. The record is from RNAcentral.
UACGUAGGUGGCAAGCGUUGUCCGGAAUUAUUGGGCGUAAAGCGCGCGCAGGCGGUCCUUUAAGUCGGAGGGGAAAGCCCACGGCUCAACCGUGGAGGGUCAUUGGAAACUGGGGGACUUGAGUGCAGGAGAGAAGAGUGGAAUUCCACGUGUAGCGGUGAAAUGCGUAGAGAUGUGGAGGAACACCAGUGGCGAAGGCGACUCUUUGGCCUGUAACUGACGCUGAGGCGCGAAAGCGUGGGGAGCAAACAGG